This 387-nucleotide ribosomal RNA is filed under the name uncultured bacterium. Its description in RNAcentral is "bacterial SSU rRNA". It matches the Rfam family "Bacterial small subunit ribosomal RNA", at positions 29 to 416 of the family's 1533-position model. The record is from RNAcentral.
AUUGAACGCUGGCGGAAUGCUUUACACAUGCAAGUCGAGCGGCAGCGCGGGGGGCAACCCUGGCGGCGAGCGGCGAACGGGUGAGUAACAUAUCGGAACGUACCCUGUCGUGGGGGAUAACUAUCCGAAAGGAUAGCUAAUACCGCAUACGACCUGAGGGUGAAAGCGGGGGACCGCAAGGCCUCGCGCGAUAGGAGCGGCCGAUAUCGGAUUAGCUAGUUGGUGAGGUAAAGGCUCACCAAGGCGACGAUCCGUAGCGGGUCUGAGAGGACGACCCGCCACACUGGAACUGAGACACGGUCCAGACUCCUACGGGAGGCAGCAGUGGGGAAUUUUGGACAAUGGGGGCAACCCUGAUCCAGCCAUUCCGCGUGAGUGAAGAAGGCC